Gavialis gangeticus (Gharial) is the source of this 74-nucleotide long non-coding RNA. RefSeq lists it as uncharacterized. Lineage: Eukaryota; Metazoa; Chordata; Crocodylia; Gavialidae. The record is from RefSeq and is a predicted model, not a curated record. The transcript is spliced from 3 exons.
CCACCCUGCCCUACCUUCUGCCUGACUUCAAACUACCACAGUUAACUACCUCUCUGACUGGAAAAUAUUAAUAG